This is a long non-coding RNA of Trachemys scripta elegans, 1904 nucleotides long. RefSeq lists it as uncharacterized. The transcript has 3 exons. The record is from RefSeq and is a predicted model, not a curated record. Lineage: Eukaryota; Metazoa; Chordata; Testudines; Emydidae.
CGACGUCGCCGGCGCAAGGCGGGCACCCAGGCGCGCGCCUGCCUCGCCCCGCCCCCGACGUUCCUUGCGGGACCGCUCAGCGCGCGCCACACACCCGGGCAACCCUCCGCUAGCCACCUAGCUUCUCUAUUUUUCUCUGGUUGGUUGCUUCUUUUGACCUUCGUUUGUCCUUCCAACUCCAAGAAGGCAACUUCUGUAAAAGGCAACAAGGCAUUUCUGUAGAAGUUGGGUGGCACAUUAAUCCCUGGUGUAACUCCAUUGAGGCCUCAGGAGCGUAGGAGAUGCUGUUGUGACAACCCCAGCACAGUAUGGUACAUAUGCUCUGUACGUGCGCACGUCUGCAGGCCACUGACUAAAAAGUCUUGUUUUUUUUGUUUGUUUGUUUGUUUUGCUUUUUUGAAUGAGAAACCUCCUGGGAAUAAAUAAAGAAAAUAGCUCCCUGUUUUAUAAAUAUGAACCAGGCUGUAUUUUAUGUCUUCUACUUGUGCCCUUCCUUUCCUGGGGGCUGGGGAGAGCUGAGGAAUGCUCAGAAUUGUCAGAGCCAUCACUGAAGAAGGGUGCAGAGAUGCAUUCUGGGAUUGCACUGAGCGGGCCAGUUGUACUAAUGCUGUGACUAGGCCAGCAGUCAUCAGCUAUACUGGGAGUGCACCAGCAAAAAUGAAUACAGAUUCAUGCAGAAAUAGAUCCUCUGGCCCCAUCCUUUAGAUACUCAUGCAUAGAGAACCUCUGCAGAGCCAGUGUUUGUAAAGCAGCCCCCCAAAUCCAGCCCCAUCACAUUGCCCCUGCACUGUGGAACUGCACCAGGUUCUUUUGCCAGGGACACUGCUGCAGAGGCUGGGCCUGGUUUUGCCUCAAUAAUGUUUUAUUUCACAAAGGAAAAGAUCACCAUAGCAGAGCUUCACUAUAACAAGAGAUGGCCUACCUGGAAAAUAGUCUGCUCCUCAUCCCCUGCUAACUGCAGCAGGAGUCUUUUUUGUUUGUUCUUGGGACAGUGAGAAUGGGGAGGGGAAUGAAUCUGGAGAGCCAUAUAUUCUCUCCAAGCCUGGAGCUAUUAUUGCCAGACAGGGAGCCAAGGAUUUUUCCUUAAUUUUGUGGCAAUAGAAUCUUCUAUUUUCUUUACUCCCACCUCCUUUGCAAAGCCAGAGAAUAGGAGGGGGAGAUAAUUGCCUCGGAAUGCAGCACUUAACCCCUCUGAAAAGUGAUAAUUGCUGCAUUCCAAAGGGAUUAGCAUAGUGGGAUCCAUUUAAACCUUCUCAGCACAAGGGAAAAUUUGCAGAGGUUUCCCGCAGUUGCUAAGAGACCAGCUCAGUUCCACCAGUGUUAGCAACCCUGUGUGAGCCCUAGUGUUCCAGCCACUGGAGUUUUAUGCACCAGAGCCCCGGCCAUGUGAGCUCUGUGUGGAGCCCCAUUGAUUUCAGUCCUUCAGUGCUGGAGUCUACCUACAUUGCAGGAUUGGGGACUAUGUCAUCUAGGAGCUCUUCUCAGAGCAGGUCUAAAUGACACUGUGUGUGACCAUCCUACAUUAGGACUUCCAACAUUGCAACAGUGAACAUUUUUUGCAACAUUUUUUUGUCUCUAGUGUAGACAACACUUAAGUGGAUUUUCAUUAUAACCAACUUCACUGUAAGGGAAUUGCUGUGUAUUUGAUUAUUGUAAAUGUGCCCAGGAAAUGUUUGGCAUGUUUUGAAAACAUCUAUAAACAAAAGAGCCCUGUGAUUGUAUUCAUGUAGGGGAGAUGGAUAUGACUGAUGGGCUACCUUAAUUUUAGUGUGCAGGAGAGGGAACAUAUGGCAGACAUUUGAUAUUAUUUCAGCUGGUUUUCCAGGUAUCUGAUCUUUUACUGUCAAUAUGAACAGUACUUCUGUGAUUUAUCUGAUACAUAGCUAAUGCUGUAAAAUCUGAAU